Molecule: ribosomal RNA, 430 nt
Filed under: Pseudomonadota bacterium
Lineage: Bacteria; Pseudomonadati; Pseudomonadota
Description: Proteobacteria bacterium partial 16S ribosomal RNA
Rfam family: Bacterial small subunit ribosomal RNA
Source: RNAcentral
UGGGGAAUAUUGGACAAUGGGGGGAACCCUGAUCCAGACAUGCCGCGUGUGUGAAGAAGGCCUUAUGGUUGUAAAGCACUUUAAGCGAGGAGGAGGGUACUGGUAUUAAUACUACCAGGUACUGGACGUUACUCGCAGAAUAAGCACCGGCUAACUCUGUGCCAGCAGCCGCGGUAAUACAGAGGGUGCGAGCGUUAAUCGGAUUUACUGGGCGUAAAGCGUGCGUAGGCGGCUAAUUGAGUCGGAUGUGAAAUCCCCGAGCUUAACUUGGGAAUUGCAUUCGAUACUGGUUAGCUAGAGUGUGGGAGAGGAUGGUAGAAUUCCAGGUGUAGCGGUGAAAUGCGUAGAGAUCUGGAGGAAUACCGAUGGCGAAGGCAGCCAUCUGGCCUAACACUGACGCUGAGGUACGAAAGCAUGGGGAGCAAACAGG